GUGAUUCUUAGUGAAAUUGGACCAGUCUAAGCAACCAGACAGGAGGAGGUGGCUUGCUGAAGGCAGUCUCACUGUGAGAACAGGAGGAGCAGCUGUUGAAAGAAGAGGAGAGAUAGCAAAACUGAAGUUUUGGUGAUAAAAUUAGAUUGAGAGAGAGGCCACUGAUGGAUUAAGUGGUAAGAUGGCUGCUGUGCCUCUGCUACCUGUUCUAUCCGCAUUCCAAGUCAGAAUGAAC
Long non-coding RNA from Neogale vison (American mink), 235 nucleotides. RefSeq lists it as uncharacterized. The transcript has 3 exons. Lineage: Eukaryota; Metazoa; Chordata; Mammalia; Carnivora; Mustelidae. The record is from RefSeq and is a predicted model, not a curated record.